Molecule: long non-coding RNA, 269 nt
Organism: Poecilia latipinna (sailfin molly)
Lineage: Eukaryota; Metazoa; Chordata; Actinopteri; Cyprinodontiformes; Poeciliidae
Exons: 3
Source: RefSeq, a predicted model, not a curated record
UCAGUAAAAAAAAAGCAUGUUCUCAUCGAUUAAAUGCGCUCAUACGUCAUUGUGCCUGCUAAACACAUAACGCUGAGUGGAGUGGUGGACCGCUCCAAGAUGGGCACCCUAAAUCUCGUCAGCGACAAUAGGUGAGAGCGGUCCAUGAGGGUCUAUUCUUAUGUCUAUGGUUGCCACCAUAGACAUUAAUACGUAGACGCCUCAUGGCGCGGGCCGGCCCGUUGUUGCGAUACGAAGCAGCGUCCGCCAUAUUGAAUGUGGAAUAUGUG